CUUCAUUUAGUUAUUUGCCACAUGUUUUUAUGACACACAUAGCUACAAGGGGCAGCCGCUCUGUACCAAAUAAUAGUUAGAAUUCUUUUAUAAUCAAAUUACUUAUACAAGCUAGUGGUGCAGAUGGAGCUUUUUUGUGAUAUAUAAUGGUGGGGAAACAGAUUUGCCUGCUGUGGUAUAUGGUAACAAGUGACCUACUACACGAGGCAUGGUAGUGAAAAGUCACAGUACCUGACAUGGAGCUAUGUGCUUCAUAGACAUGCAUUCCUUGUAGAUUGGUUGGAUUGCUCGACACAAGGAUAUAUACAGCUGGUUCUCAGAUCAGAACUUUAGAAUCCCACCUACUGCUUGCAUUCACAAGGUGUUGUGGUUUGCAGGGCUCACAGAAAAUGUAUAUGCUUGUGUUUCCUGUUUAUUACUGCAAACUUUACAUCAUGUAUUAUAGCCCUUCCUAUUUUUACUUGAGUUUUAUUAUUUUACUUCUUCAGUUUUCUUACUUUAAUUUUGUAGCUUGAACUUACAUUUUUUUUCUAUUUAAUUCAAGUGCAAUUUGUUAUUUUCAUUAAUAGAUAAAACUAUAUCAAACCUACAAAUUUAGAAUUAAAAACAUUUGUGUACUGAGAUACAUAUUAUAUCAGUUGCAAUCAAAACUGUUGUUCGUGUGUUGCUCCGGUCUAUUUAGCAACACCUUACAUCUUGGUCUAAGUGUCAGUUUUUACACCUGCUGCAUUUGUCGGUUGUCAUUGAGCAAUUCAUGUCAUGAAAUAUCCUCUGUACAAAGUGUUAGAAUACAGAGGAGGAUUCUGAGCAACCUCGCCUGUUUACACAUCUAUUGUUAAAAGUGCUUGUGAAAAAGACUAGAAGAAUUCUGUUAUUUCAUUUGCCAGGUGGUGAGAGAU
Pelobates cultripes (western spadefoot toad) is the source of this 899-nucleotide non-coding RNA. NCBI's taxonomy places the organism in Eukaryota, Metazoa, Chordata, Amphibia, Anura, Pelobatidae. The record is from the annotation of a GenBank genome assembly.